Molecule: long non-coding RNA, 451 nt
Filed under: Brassica napus (rape)
Lineage: Eukaryota; Viridiplantae; Streptophyta; Magnoliopsida; Brassicales; Brassicaceae
Description: long non-coding RNA (BNAP_LNC025124)
Source: RNAcentral
ACAAAAAAUCGUCGUAAAGGACUCGUAGGUCAACGAGGAAAUAACGAGGAAAUAUAAAAAUACAGAACGCGGGACUCGUUAAUUCCACGUAGGACAAAAUCGUCGUAAAUACCACGUACGAUGAAUUCGUCGUAAAAACCACGUAGGAUGAAAUCGUCAGGUUUGGGGUUUGGGGUUUGGGGUUUCGGGUUUUGGGUUUGGGGUUUGGGGUUUCGGGUUUCGGGUUUUUGGUUUCGGGUUUCGGGUUUAGGGGUUCGGGUUUUGGGGUUUGGGGUUCGGGGUUUAGGGGUUCACAGUUUGGGGUUUCGGGUUUAGGGGUUCGGGGUUUCGGGUUUUGGGUUUUGGAUUUCGGGUUUCGGGUUUCGAGUUUGGGGUUUCGAGUUUAGGGGUUCAGGUUUAGGGGUUCGGGGUUUGGGGUUUCGGGUUUUGGAUUUCGGGUUUCGGGUUUCGU